UUUGCGGCGUCAGCGAUGGGCGACCUGAUUCCGGGGUUGCCGGAGGAGGUGGCGAGGGAGUGCCUCAUCAGGGUGGGCUUCGACCAGCUGCCCGCCGUGCGCCGCAUCUCGCGGCAGUGGAAGGAGGAGGUCGAGUCGCCGGACUACGGCCGCCUGCGCCGCGCCGAGGGGCUGGCGCGCCCGGUGCUCGCCAUGGUCCAGGCGCAGCCCGAGCGCGUCGAGCCUGGCCCGGCGCAGAAGCACGCGUCGGCGUCGGCGGCCAACGGCGGACCCGCGAACAACUACAGGAUGGUGCUGCUGGACCCGGUGGCGGGGCGGUGGGCUCCGCUCCCGGUGCUGCCCGGCCCGACCGGGAGCCUGCCCCUGUUCUGCCAGGUCGCCGCGGUGGACGGCCCGCAGGGGAGGAAGCGGCUGGUGGUCGUCGGCGGGUGGGACCCGGAGUCGUGGGCGCCGACGGACUCGGUGUACGUGUACGACUUCCUGACCGGCGCGUGGCGCCGCGGGGCGCCCAUGCCGGGCCCGCGCCGGUCCUUCUUCGCCACCGCGGCCGUCGGCGGGGCCGUGUACGUCGCCGGCGGGCACGACGAGGAGAAGAACGCGCUCCGGUCGGCGCUCGCGUACGACCCGGACGCCGACGCGUGGGCCGCGCUCCCGGACAUGGCGGAGGAGCGCGACGAGCCGCGCGGGCUCUGCGUCGGCGGCAGGUUCCUGGUCGUCGGCGGGUACCCGACGCAGGCGCAGGGCCGCUUCGCCGGCUCCGCCGAGGCCUUCGACCCGGCGACGGCGGCCUGGGACACCGUCCAGGAGGGCCUGCUCGAGGACGGCGCGUGCCCGAGAACCUGCUGCGUGGCGCCCGGAGCCGAGUGCAUGUACAUGCUCCGCGAAGGGAACCUCGUGGCGCGCGACGGCGGCGCCUCGGCGGGGUGGCGCACGGUGGCGUCCGUGCCGGGGGACGCCCGCACGGCGUCGACCGUCUCCGCCAUCCCCGGCGGCCGCGUCGUGGUGAUCGGCUCAGGCUGCCACGGAGGCGACCAGACCGUGUACAUGCUGCGCGACGAGGCCGGCAACGGCAAGGCCGCGUCCUGGGCGCGCGCCCCGGCGCCGCCGGAGUUCUCCGGGCACGUGCAGGCCGCCUGCUUCCUAGAGAUCUGA
This 1152-nucleotide ribosomal RNA is filed under the name Triticum aestivum (bread wheat). Its description in RNAcentral is "partial small subunit ribosomal RNA". The record is from RNAcentral. Lineage: Eukaryota; Viridiplantae; Streptophyta; Magnoliopsida; Poales; Poaceae.